RNAcentral lists this ribosomal RNA (430 nucleotides) under uncultured archaeon. Its description in RNAcentral is "bacterial SSU rRNA". It matches the Rfam family "Archaeal small subunit ribosomal RNA", at positions 474 to 903 of the family's 1478-position model. The record is from RNAcentral.
UACCUGCAGCUCAAGUGGUGACCGCUAUUAUUGGGCCUAAAACGUUCGUAGCCGGCUGAGUAGAUGCUUGGGUAAAUCGUGCCGCUUAACGGUACGAAUUCCGGGUAGACUGCUCAGCUUGAGACCGGGAGAAGCUAGAGGUACUCCUAGGGUAGAGGUGAAAUUCUGUAAUCCUGGGGGGACCACCAGUGGCGAAGGCGUCUAGCUAGAACGGGUCUGACGGUGAGGGACGAAACCCUGGGGCGCAAACCGGAUUAGAUACCCGGGUAGUCCAGGGCGCAAACGCUGCUUGCUUGAUGUUAGUUGGGCUCCGGGCUCAGCUAGUGUCGGAGAGAAGUUGUUAAGCAAGCUGCCUGGGAAGUACGAUCGCAAGAUUGAAACUUAAAGGAAUUGGCGGGGGAGCGACAGCAACGGGUGGAGCGUGCGGUUU